Molecule: ribosomal RNA, 332 nt
Filed under: uncultured Halomonas sp.
Lineage: Bacteria; Pseudomonadati; Pseudomonadota; Gammaproteobacteria; Oceanospirillales; Halomonadaceae
Description: bacterial SSU rRNA
Rfam family: Bacterial small subunit ribosomal RNA
Source: RNAcentral
AGUAAUGCAUAGGAAUCUGCCCGGUAGUGGGGGAUAACUUGAGGAAACUCAAGCUAAUACCGCAUACGCCCUACGGGGGAAAGCAGGGGCUCUUCGGACCUUGCGCUAUCGGAUGAGCUUAUGUCGGAUUAGCUAGUUGGUGAGGUAACGGCUUACCAAGGCGACGAUCCGUAGCUGGUCUGAGAGGAUGAUCAGCCACAUCGGGACUGAGACACGGCCCGAACUCCUACGGGAGGCAGCAGUGGGGAAUAUUGGACAAUGGGCGAAAGCCUGAUCCAGCCAUGCCGCGUGUGUGAAGAAGGCCCUCGGGUUGUAAAGCACUUUCAGUGAGG